Molecule: long non-coding RNA, 485 nt
Filed under: Homo sapiens (human)
Lineage: Eukaryota; Metazoa; Chordata; Mammalia; Primates; Hominidae
Description: non-protein coding lnc-CDH8-6:1
Source: RNAcentral
AUGAACCCAUCACAAAAUUUUAAACCAAGCCUGAUCCCAGAAUCUUUACAAAUGCUCACUGAAAAAAAUUCCCAAGAUUAUUCAGGAGCUUCUUAUAACUUCUGUUCCAAGAUGUUUAUAAAGGACCUUAGUUACUUGACUCUCAACUCUGGUACCAAAUUCCCCUUUUCUUUCCUCAAAAGGUUACCCCAACAACAGAAUAGAAGAGAAAUGAUCUUACAGGACAUCAUAGUUGGCUUGCUUUACAGGAGGAGAGGAGUAAGAACAUGGCUCUCUGCAGAAAGAAAGAAUGGUAAAAUUGAGAUACUUGUUACUCGGCAUACUUCCUAGGCUUAAAAGAGAACAGACACUGGGCUUAAGGGAGUUCAGAAUGAAUCAAGGAGUGAAUCAUUCAAAUGUGGCUGCAGUUUUGCAUGUAUCACAAAUGGGAUCCUUCUGAGAAUGCUAGUAUAGGAAAUUGUGACACUGAGCUAAUUCAGCCAUAA